GUAGUCCACGCUGUAAACGAUGGAUACUUGAUGUAGGAGGUAUUGACCCCUUCUGUGUCGGAGCUAACGCGUUAAGUAUCCCGCCUGGGGAGUACGGUCGCAAGAUUAAAACUCAAAGAAAUUGACGGGGGCCCGCACAAGCGGUGGAGUAUGUGGUUUAAUUCGAUGCAACGCGAAAAACCUUACCUAGGUUUGGCAUCCUCUGAAGACUGUAGAGAUACAGGGGGCCCGAAAGGGACAGAGAGACAGGUGCUGCAUGGCUGUCGUCAGCUCGUGUCGUGAGAUGUUGGGUUAAGUCCCGCAACGAGCGCAACCCUUGCAAUUAGUUGCCAGCAUUAAGUUGGGCACUCUAAUUGGACUGCCAACGUUAAGUUGGA
RNAcentral lists this ribosomal RNA (377 nucleotides) under uncultured bacterium. RNAcentral describes it as "bacterial SSU rRNA". It matches the Rfam family "Bacterial small subunit ribosomal RNA", at positions 790 to 1167 of the family's 1533-position model. The record is from RNAcentral.